RNAcentral lists this ribosomal RNA (564 nucleotides) under uncultured eukaryote. RNAcentral's name for it is "SSU rRNA". It matches the Rfam family "Eukaryotic small subunit ribosomal RNA", at positions 4 to 563 of the family's 1831-position model. The record is from RNAcentral.
CUGGUUGAUCCUGCCAGUAACAUAUGCUUGUCUCAAAGACUAAGCCAUGCAUGUCUAAGUAUAAACACCUUUAUACUGUGAAACUGCGUACAGCUCAUUAUAUCAGCAAUUAUUUAUUUGAUGGUACCUUACUACAUGGAUAACCGUGGUAAUUCUAGAGCUAAUACAUGCACAAAGUCCCAACUCUUGCGGGGAGGGAUGUAUUUAUUAGAUACAAAACCAAUACCACCUCUGGUGGAUAUUGUGGUGACUCAUAAUAACUGAUCGGAUCGCAUGGCUUCACGCUGGCGACAGUUCAUUCAAAUUUCUGCCCUAUCAGCUUUCGAUGGUAGUGUAAAGGACUACCAUGGCUAUAACGGGUAACGGGGAAUUAGGGUUCGAUUCCGGAGAGGGAGCCUGAGAAAUGGCUACCACAUCCAAGGAAGGCAGCAGGCGCGCAAAUUACCCAAUCCUGACACAGGGAGGUGGUGACAAGAAAUAACGAUACCGGGCCUUCACAGGUCUGGUAAUCGGAAUGAGUACAAUUUAAAUCCCUUAACGAGGAUCCACUGGAGGGCAAGUCUG